RNAcentral lists this ribosomal RNA (226 nucleotides) under uncultured bacterium. RNAcentral's name for it is "partial 16S ribosomal RNA". It matches the Rfam family "Bacterial small subunit ribosomal RNA", at positions 109 to 334 of the family's 1533-position model. The record is from RNAcentral.
AGUAACGCGUGGGUAACCUGCCUCAUACAGGGGGAUAACAGUUAGAAAUGACUGCUAAUACCGCAUAAGCGCACAGUGCUGCAUGGCACAGUGUGAAAAAACUCCGGUGGUAUGAGAUGGACCCGCGUCUGAUUAGCUAGUUGGUGGGGUAACGGCCUACCAAGCCGACGAUCAGUAGCCGACCUGAGAGGGUGACCGGCCACAUUGGGACUGAGACACGGCCCAA